Molecule: ribosomal RNA, 428 nt
Filed under: uncultured bacterium
Lineage: Bacteria
Description: partial 16S ribosomal RNA
Rfam family: Bacterial small subunit ribosomal RNA
Source: RNAcentral
GUGGGGAAUAUUGUGCAAUGGGCGAAAGCCUGACCCAGCAACGCCGCGUGAAGGAAGAAGGUUUUCGGAUUGUAAACUUCUGUCCUCAGGGAAGAAGAAAGUGACGGUACCUGAGGAGGAAGCCCCGGCUAACUACGUGCCAGCAGCCGCGGUAAUACGUAGGGGGCGAGCGUUGUCCGGAAUGACUGGGCGUAAAGGGCGCGUAGACGGCUGUCUAAGUCUGGAGUGAACGUCCUGCUUUCAAGGUGGGAAUUGCUUUGGAGACUGGAUGGCUUGAGUGCGGAAGAGGUAAGUGGAAUUCCCAGUGUAGCGGUGAAAUGCGUAGAGAUUGGGAGGAACACCAGUGGCGAAGGCGACUUACUGGGCCGUAACUGACGUUGAUGCGCGAAAGCGUGGGGAGCGAACAGGAUUAGAAACCCUAGUAGUCC